This 315-nucleotide ribosomal RNA is filed under the name Triticum aestivum (bread wheat). RNAcentral describes it as "partial small subunit ribosomal RNA". The record is from RNAcentral. Lineage: Eukaryota; Viridiplantae; Streptophyta; Magnoliopsida; Poales; Poaceae.
AUGAAACAUAUGCUGAGAGGUUGCCUUUCGAGGGCGCCAAUCAGUGUAUCUUUUCGAAAGGACAUGGGGGCAUGGCCUGUUUCUUUCCAACACAAUCGGCAAGGGCAUCAGAUCUGGACCGGCAUAGGUCAGGCCGACGUCUCAGCGGGUCACUCACCCAGCGGACUGGCAUCUUACGCUAUCCGACUUGUCUAUCACAUGCAUGGUUUUUUUUGUGUGUGUAGAAACCAUGUGCGUGGGGUUCGAAGGAGGCCCAAAUUGAGUGAAGCUCAAGAUCAAAGCGGCCCCUCUCAGCUUGUAACGAUCUCGAGCUAG